This 614-nucleotide ribosomal RNA is filed under the name Penicillium oxalicum. RNAcentral describes it as "eukaryotic LSU rRNA". The stretch from base 231 to 384 matches the Rfam family "5.8S ribosomal RNA". The record is from RNAcentral. Lineage: Eukaryota; Fungi; Ascomycota; Eurotiomycetes; Eurotiales; Aspergillaceae.
UUUUUGAAGUUUUGGGUCAGGUUUCCGUAGGUGAACCUGCGGAAGGAUCAUUACCGAGUGAGGGCCCUCUGGGUCCAACCUCCCACCCGUGUUUAUCGUACCUUGUUGCUUCGGCGGGCCCGCCUCACGGCCGCCGGGGGGCAUCCGCCCCCGGGCCCGCGCCCGCCGAAGACACACAAACGAACUCUUGUCUGAAGAUUGCAGUCUGAGUACUUGACUAAAUCAGUUAAAACUUUCAACAACGGAUCUCUUGGUUCCGGCAUCGAUGAAGAACGCAGCGAAAUGCGAUAAGUAAUGUGAAUUGCAGAAUUCAGUGAAUCAUCGAGUCUUUGAACGCACAUUGCGCCCCCUGGUAUUCCGGGGGGCAUGCCUGUCCGAGCGUCAUUGCUGCCCUCAAGCACGGCUUGUGUGUUGGGCUCUCGCCCCCCGCUUCCGGGGGGCGGGCCCGAAAGGCAGCGGCGGCACCGCGUCCGGUCCUCGAGCGUAUGGGGCUUCGUCACCCGCUCUGUAGGCCCGGCCGGCGCCCGCCGGCGAACACCAUCAAUCUUAACCAGGUUGACCUCGGAUCAGGUAGGGAUACCCGCUGAACUUAAGCAUAUAAGACGCGGAAGAAA